Molecule: ribosomal RNA, 485 nt
Filed under: uncultured bacterium
Lineage: Bacteria
Description: partial 16S ribosomal RNA
Rfam family: Bacterial small subunit ribosomal RNA
Source: RNAcentral
AUUGAACGCUGGCGGCAUGCCUUACACAUGCAAGUCGAACGGCAGCGGGCCCUUCGGGGUGCCGGCGAGUGGCGAACGGGUGAGUAAUGCAUCGGAACGUACCCGGGAGAGGGGGAUAACCGGCCGAAAGGCUGGCUAAUACCGCAUGAACUCGGAAGAGCAAAGCGGGGGACCUUCGGGCCUCGCGCUCUCGGAGCGGCCGAUGUCCGAUUAGGCUAGUUGGUGGGGUAAAGGCCCACCAAGGCGACGAUCGGUAGCGGGUCGGAGAGGACGAUCCGCCACACUGGGACUGAGACACGGCCCAGACUCCUACGGGAGGCAGCAGUGGGGAAUCUUGGACAAUGGGCGCAAGCCUGAUCCAGCAAUGCCGCGUGGGUGAAGAAGGCCUUCGGGUUGUAAAGCCCUUUCGGCGGGGAAGAAAUCGGUCAGGCGAAUAGUCUGGCCGGAUGACGGUACCCGCAGAAGAAGCACCGGCUAACUACGUG